CUUUGACCAAGAAGAUCUCAGGACACCAAGCCCCAGGUCCAGAAAGCUCAGAGACUACCAAGCAGGAUAAAUGCCAAAACAAAACUACAAUUGGGCGUAUCGUUUCCAAACUACAGAAAAUCAGAUAGGCAAAAAGUGUGAAAGACGUCACAGGAAAAAAAAAAAGACCUUACCUAUGGAGGAAAGAAGAUAAGAAUUACAUCUGACUUCUCCUCAGAUAAGCGAAGAUAAGAAUUACAUCUGACUUUCUCCUCAGAAACCAUGGAAGUAAGAAGAGAGUGGAGUGAAAUUUUUAAAAUUAAAACAUUGAAAAUGUUGAGAGAAAACAGCAACAUGGAAUUCUGUACCCUUCAAAAUUAGCCUUCAAAAAUAAAAGGGAUAUAAAGACUUUCUCAAAUAAAAAUUGAGGGAAUUCGUUGUCAGCAGAUUUGUUGCUCAU
Molecule: long non-coding RNA, 439 nt
Filed under: Homo sapiens (human)
Lineage: Eukaryota; Metazoa; Chordata; Mammalia; Primates; Hominidae
Description: non-protein coding lnc-NUDT15-3:1
Source: RNAcentral